CAAAAGCCAUGAGUCUUUUAAGCCCAGUGUGUAGAGACACACUCUUGAGCUAUAACUCAAAGGC
Jaculus jaculus (lesser Egyptian jerboa) is the source of this 64-nucleotide non-coding RNA. RefSeq annotates it as small Cajal body-specific RNA 1. Lineage: Eukaryota; Metazoa; Chordata; Mammalia; Rodentia; Dipodidae. The transcript has a single exon. The record is from RefSeq and is a predicted model, not a curated record.